AUGUGGUGCGGGGGUCAGGUGUGGGGGUCUGUGUGGGGUCAGGUGUGGGGGUCUGUGUGUGUGGGGUCAGGCGUGUGGGUCUGUGUGUGUGGGGUCAGGCGUGUGGGUCCGUGUGUGGGGUCAGGUGUGUGGGUCUGUGUUGUGUGGGGUCAGGUGUGUGGGUCUGAGGUCAGGCGUGUGGGUCUGUGUGGGGUCAGGCGUGUGGGUCUGUGUGUGGGGUCAGGCGUGUGGGUCUGUGUGUGGGGGUCAGGCGUGUGGGUCUGUGUGAGGUCAGGUGUGCGGGUCUGUUUGUGGGGGUCAGGUGUGUGGGUCUGUGUGUGUGGGGUCAGGUGUGGGGGUCUGUGUGUGUGGGGUCAGGUGUGGGGGUCUGUGUGUGGGGUCAGGCGUGUGGGUCCGUGUGUGUGGGGGGUCAGGUGUGUGCGUCUGUGUGGGGUCAGGCGUGUGGGUCUGUGUGUGGGGUCAGGUGUGUGGGUCUGUGUUGUGUGGGGUCAGGUGUGUGGGUCUGAGGUCAGGCGUGUGGGUCUGUGUGGGGUCAGGCGUGUGGGUCUGUGUGUGGGGUCAGGUGUGUGGGUCUGUGUGUGGGGGUCAGGUGUGUGGGUCUGUGUGUGGGGGUCAGGCGUGUGGGUCUGUGUGAGGUCAGGUGUGCGGGUCUGUUUGUGGGGGUCAGGUGUGUGGGUCUGUGUGUGUGGGGUCAGGUGUGGGGGUCUGUGUGUGGGGUCAGGCGUGUGGGUCUGUGUGUGUGGGGUCAGGUGUGGGGGUCUGUGUGUGGGGUCAGGCGUGGGGGUCUGUGUUGUGUGGGGUCAGGUGUGUGGGUCUGAGGUCAGGCGUGUGGGUCUGUGUGGGGUCAGGCGUGUGGGUCUGUGCAUGUGUGGGAUCAGGUGUGUGGGUCUGUGUGUGUGGGGGGGUCAGGUGUGUGGGUCUGAGGUCAGGUGUGUGGGUCUGUGUGGGGUCAGGUGUGUGGGUCUGUGUGGGGUCAGGCGUGCGGGUCUGUUUGUGGGGGUCAGGCGUGUGGGUCUGUGUUGUGUGGGGUCAGGGGUGUGGGUCUGA
This 1047-nucleotide long non-coding RNA is filed under the name Bos indicus x Bos taurus (hybrid cattle). RNAcentral's name for it is "lncRNA (ENSBIXG00000007156.1)". The record is from RNAcentral. Lineage: Eukaryota; Metazoa; Chordata; Mammalia; Artiodactyla; Bovidae.